RNAcentral lists this ribosomal RNA (253 nucleotides) under uncultured bacterium. RNAcentral describes it as "partial 16S ribosomal RNA". It matches the Rfam family "Bacterial small subunit ribosomal RNA", at positions 524 to 776 of the family's 1533-position model. The record is from RNAcentral.
UACAGAGGUCUCAAGCGUUGUUCGGAUUUAUUGGGCGUAAAGAGCGUGUAGGCGGCCAGGUAGGUCUGGUGUGAAAACUCGAGGCUUAACCUCGAGAUGUCAUCGGAAACCAUCUGGCUAGAGUCCGGAAGAGGAAAGUGGAAUUCCUGGUGUAGCGGUGAAAUGCGCAGAUAUCAGGAAGAACACCAAUGGCGAAAGCAGCUUUCUGGGACGGUACUGACGCUGAGACGCGAAAGCGUGGGGAGCGAACAGG